CACGUAGGGUCCGAGCGUUGUCCGGAAUUACUGGGCGUAAAGCGCGCGCAGGCGGUCCAUUCAGUCGCUGGUGAAAGCCCCACGCUCAACGUGGGAAGGUCCGGCGAGACGGGUGGACUGGAGGCAGGGAGAGGUCGGUGGAAUUCCGGGUGUAGUGGUGAAAUGCGUAGAGAUCCGGAGGAACACCAGAGGCGAAGGCGGCCGACUGGACCUGACCUGACGCUGAGGCGCGAAGGCGUGGGGAGCGAACAGG
This 253-nucleotide ribosomal RNA is filed under the name uncultured bacterium. RNAcentral describes it as "partial 16S ribosomal RNA". It matches the Rfam family "Bacterial small subunit ribosomal RNA", at positions 524 to 776 of the family's 1533-position model. The record is from RNAcentral.